Molecule: ribosomal RNA, 884 nt
Filed under: Triticum aestivum (bread wheat)
Lineage: Eukaryota; Viridiplantae; Streptophyta; Magnoliopsida; Poales; Poaceae
Description: partial small subunit ribosomal RNA
Source: RNAcentral
ACCUGAGAGUAGAGUCUCAUUUAAUCGAAGUCUAUAGUCUUAUCAUGUGACCAAGUCUUUAGUCUUAUUGAUGAUAGACCCACGUUGAACGACCGUCCCGUCAAUUUAAUCUAUAGAAUAAAAAGUAACAUAGAAAGAAUAAUGAAAAUGUUUAAUCACAAGUUCUGUUAGAAGACAACAACGUAAGGUCGUUCAAUCAAAUGUCGGCUUCUAUCAAAUAGGUUAGGUUUACUACGUCCAGCUUGUUUUGAAUACCGACCCCAUUUUUAUAAACACCACUAGUCGUAGAAGGAGAGCGAAACGACAAUUCUACAGCUGCGCCGCGAUGCGUUGCCUACUAAAUAUGAUGAUGGUACAAAAAAUACAACCCAGACUCUUUGAUCUCUUAAGUACGGAGAAACAGUACGGUUCUCAUAAGAUCCCUAAAGAAUACUUAUAUGACAUACAUUAUACCCUACCGAUAAAACUAAUUCUCUAGUUAAAAAUACGUCCAAAUAGAGGUGAGAAGAGUCGGACCCUUAGUAGUACACGAACGACUGGACGAGCCCGGUGUAGCGGCGACUUUGACGUUUGUCGGGGACGGACAGAACAGUGCACUAGAAACAUAAGAACGAACACUAUGACCUUCGACGUUAGCGGCGGCUACAUAAAGACUUAUCGAUGACCCUCCUCCUGUUUAGGGUGGUCUGAACCGAGAUUAACUUCAAUAGUAUUCUCAUUCGUUAGUCGUGAACAACACGACAAAAGACUAAGAUGACUCUUUGAGUUUUAAACGUCACAUUCUAGUUUGAAAACGAGCGUCUUAUAACUUACACGCGAUUUUUCAUACAUCUAAAUGAGUACUCCCGUCUUAGGACACUUAAAGAAAACUUAGCUAACGAGUU